RNAcentral lists this transfer RNA (98 nucleotides) under Desulfotomaculum sp. RNAcentral's name for it is "tRNA-Sec". It matches the Rfam family "Selenocysteine transfer RNA". The record is from RNAcentral. Lineage: Bacteria; Bacillati; Bacillota; Clostridia; Eubacteriales; Desulfotomaculaceae.
GGGGGUGGACGGGUCCUGGUGGGCCUCCUGGUCUUCAAAACCAGCCGGCGGGCGAAAAGCAAGCCCGUGGUGGGUUCGAUUCCCACGCACUCCCGCCA